RNAcentral lists this ribosomal RNA (925 nucleotides) under uncultured Lentimicrobium sp. RNAcentral describes it as "bacterial SSU rRNA". It matches the Rfam family "Bacterial small subunit ribosomal RNA", at positions 11 to 933 of the family's 1533-position model. The record is from RNAcentral. Lineage: Bacteria; Pseudomonadati; Bacteroidota; Bacteroidia; Bacteroidales; Lentimicrobiaceae.
GUUUGAUCCUGGCUCAGGAUGAACGCUAGCGGCAGGCUUAAUACAUGCAAGUCGAACGGGAUUCGGGGUAGCAAUACUUUGAUGAGAGUGGCGCACGGGUGCGUAACGCGUAUGCAACCUACCUUUAACAGGGGAAUAGCCCCGAGAAAUCGGGAUUAAUACUCCGUAACAUUGCGGUGUGGCAUCACACUGCACUUAAAGCUGAGGCGGUUAAAGAUGGGCAUGCGUGACAUUAGCUAGUUGGUGAGGUAACGGCUCACCAAGGCAACGAUGUCUAGGGGUCCUGAGAGGGUUAUCCCCCACACUGGUACUGAGACACGGACCAGACUCCUACGGGAGGCAGCAGUAAGGAAUAUUGGUCAAUGGGCGCAAGCCUGAACCAGCCAUGCCGCGUGCAGGAAGACGGCCCUAUGGGUUGUAAACUGCUUUUGUCAGGGAAUAAACCCCCGCUCGUGAGCGGGGCUGAAGGUACCUGAAGAAUAAGCAUCGGCUAACUCCGUGCCAGCAGCCGCGGUAAUACGGAGGAUGCAAGCGUUAUCCGGAUUCAUUGGGUUUAAAGGGUGCGCAGGCGGAUUGGUAAGUCAGGGGUGAAAUCCCACAGCUCAACUGUGGAACUGCCUUUGAUACUGUCAGUCUAGAGUAUAGUUGAAGUUGGCGGAAUGUGUCAUGUAGCGGUGAAAUGCUUAGAUAUGACACAGAACACCGAUCGCGAAGGCAGCUAGCUAAGCUAUAACUGACGCUCAUGCACGAAAGCGUGGGGAUCAAACAGGAUUAGAUACCCUGGUAGUCCACGCUGUAAACGAUGAUUACUCGAUGUUGGCGAUACACAGUCAGCGUCUGAGCGAAAGCAAUAAGUAAUCCACCUGGGGAGUACGAUCGCAAGAUUGAAACUCAAAGGAAUUUGACGGGGGCCCGCACAAGCGGA